Cinara cedri is the source of this 622-nucleotide non-coding RNA. Lineage: Eukaryota; Metazoa; Arthropoda; Insecta; Hemiptera; Aphididae. The record is from the annotation of a GenBank genome assembly.
AAUUUACACUAUAGGCUUUAGUGUCUAGCUGUAAUUACAUCAAUAAAUAUUAUUUUAUGCCUUAUAACUAGGUAUUAUAAUUAGUUUUUAAUAAUGAAAGUACAGAUUAUUUUUUAAAAAAAAAAAAGGUAUUUAUCAUGUACAUAAUUAUCUAAAUAAAUAAUCUAAUAAAUGUUUCCUACAAAACAUAAAUAAUAAAUAAACAUUUCAAAUAUGUUUUCAUAAUUAAAAUAAAGUGAGCAGUAGUGGCUAGAAUUUUACUUUUGACUCUUUGAUCUAGAACAGUAAAACCGGCCAAACCAUUUCCCCUUAAGAUUAUUUAUUACUUAUUUAGAUAAUAGAAUUUAUUAAUUGUAAAAACACCAUUCAGAACUUCACAAAGAUUUUUGAACUAUGAAUUAACAUUAGCAUAACAAAUAUUUACGCAACUUAGAAUCAGGCUUUUGACUAGUCAAAUUAUUUUUAGUCAAUUGACUGGUGCCAACCCCAAACUAACUAUUUAGAAUUAAACUGUUCCAGUCUUUGUUUGAAUUAUUUCUUAAUUGUUUACAUUUUAGUAGUUUUACAAGAAGUUACAUCAUUAAUUUAAUUUUUUUUUUUUAUAGUAUGAAUUUUCAAAUAU